This is a long non-coding RNA of Megalobrama amblycephala (Wuchang bream), 330 nucleotides long. RefSeq lists it as uncharacterized. NCBI's taxonomy places the organism in Eukaryota, Metazoa, Chordata, Actinopteri, Cypriniformes, Xenocyprididae. The record is from RefSeq and is a predicted model, not a curated record. The transcript is spliced from 2 exons.
CACAAAAAAUAUUCUCGUCGCUUUAUAAUAUUAAUAUUGAACCACUGUACUCACAUGAACUAAUUUAAAUAUGUUUUUAGUACCUUUAUGGAUCUUGAGAGAGGAAAUAUCAUUGCAGGCUAUGCAGGCCUCGAGCCAUCGGAGUUCAACAAAAAUAUCUUAAUUUGCGUUCCGAAGAUUAACGGCUGUGGAACGGCAUGAGCUGACGUUGUGGCAGCAGGAAGCCAUUCAUCAUGACGGCCCACUGGAUGGCUAUGGCUGCUAACAGCACAUUAAACCCUGAUCCACUGAAACCAUAUCGUACAAGGAACGUGGCCAGGAAUCCAAACC